AUUGGGGGUUUCUGCUGGCCUCGCGGUCGGCUCCCCUUGAAUGCAUUAGCUGGACUUUCCGACUAUGAGCGGUUCACGGUGUGAUAACUAUCUACGCCUGGUAAAUUCCACUUCUUGUCUGGUCGAGCUUCAAAACCGUCUUUUGACAAACCAACUUAAGAUCUGACCUCAAAUCAGGUAGGACUACCCGCUGAACUUAA
This 200-nucleotide unclassified non-coding RNA is filed under the name soil metagenome. Its description in RNAcentral is "partial contains internal transcribed spacer 2 and large subunit ribosomal RNA". The record is from RNAcentral.